UGUUCUUAGCGGCGGACGGGUGAGUAACACGUGGGUAACCUGCCUCAAAGUGGGGGAUAGCCUUUCGAAAGGAAGAUUAAUACCGCAUAAGCCUGCAGCACCGCAUGGUGCAGCAGGAAAAGGAGCAAUCCGCUUUGAGAUGGACCCGCGGCGCAUUAGCUAGUUGGUGAGGUAACGGCUCACCAAGGCCACGAUGCGUAGCCGACCUGAGAGGGUGAUCGGCCACAUUGGAACUGAGACACGGUCCAGACUCCUACGGGAGGCAGCAGUGGGGAAUAUUGCACAAUGGGCGAAAGCCUGAUGCAGCAACGCCGCGUGAGUGAUGAAGGCCUUCGGGUCGUAAAGCUCUUUGAUCAGGGAUGAUAAUGACAGUACCUGAAAAACAAGCCACGGCUAACUACGUGCCAGCAGCCGCGGUAAUACGUAGGUGGCGAGCGUUGUCCGGAAUUACUGGGCGUAAAGGAUGCGUAGGUGGAUAUUUAAGUGGGAUGUGAAAUCCCCGGGCUCAACCCGGGAACUGCAUUCCAAACUGGAUGUCUAGAGUGCAGGAGAGGAAAGCGGAAUUCCUAGUGUAGCGGUAAAAUGCGUAGAUAUUAGGAGGAACACCAGUGGCGAAGGCGGCUUUCUGGACUGUAACUGACACUGAGGCAUGAAAGCGUGGGUAGCAAACAGGAUUAGAUACCCUGGUAGUCCACGCCGU
This 700-nucleotide ribosomal RNA is filed under the name uncultured bacterium. Its description in RNAcentral is "bacterial SSU rRNA". It matches the Rfam family "Bacterial small subunit ribosomal RNA", at positions 87 to 803 of the family's 1533-position model. The record is from RNAcentral.